RNAcentral lists this long non-coding RNA (2259 nucleotides) under Suricata suricatta (meerkat). RNAcentral's name for it is "lncRNA (ENSSSUG00005001934.1)". The record is from RNAcentral. Lineage: Eukaryota; Metazoa; Chordata; Mammalia; Carnivora; Herpestidae.
CUACUGCCUCUGUUCUCUCUUGCGAUGUGACUGAUUCCCACCAAGGCUACCAAAUGCUAUUCGCCUGGAGACCCAUUAAAUUCAGCAGACAACCAAGAGAGCUUCAGGAGCCAAAGGUGAACAAGAAAUAAUUCUUAGACUCAGUGACUUAACAUGAAUGUCUGCCUCUUCUUCUGAACAAAACCUGAAGCAGUGUAAAUGAAAGAGUUUGUCUCCUUGAAAAUCCAGUGGAAGAGAAGAAUGAAGCUACAGGUUCUUAAUAUUCAGACUUCCUCUCGGGACUGCUGUUCUCUAUGUUUUUCCAAAGGACCCCAGCAGAGCACACACAGCCCCACUAACGGACAGCAGAGCCACAGUUAGGGGCGCUCACAAUAACUACGCCGAGAACACCCAAAGAUGGGGAUUCAGAAGAAAGGGUUUGAGAAGCUUUGUCAGUCACACCCCAUCCUCCAAACUGGAGAUUUGCAGUAUGCUUUUUCAGGGCUAUAAUCAUAUAUAAAGAUGGGAAUCACUCUCCUCUGCUGCUGAUUUUCUCACCAAAUGUUGUCAUGAAGGUACCCAAGGAAUAUGCUGUCGGCACACACAAACGGACAGUGGACACUUGUCCUCUUGUUAGAUAAACACUCAGGUGGCUCACUCCAAAACCCUCCACAGGCUCUCACCAACGUCCCUUUCACAUCAAGAUCUUCCACCCAGGCCUUGUCUAUUCCUGUCCAUUCCGCCCUAUGAACGCCUUCUAUGGCUUGGACACACCAUCUUCUCAUAUCAUUAGAUUUUUUUUUUCCUUUUUUUUUUUUUUGGUAGGAUGGUAAUUGAGAUUUUCUUUUUUUUAAUUUUUUUUGACAUUUAUUUAUUUUUGAAAGACAGAGAGAGACAGAUCAUGAGCAGGGGAGGAGCAGAGAGAGGGAUACACAGAAUCGAAAGCAGGCUCCAGGCUCUGAGCUGCCAGCACAGAACCUGAUGCAGGGCUCGAACCCACGAACUGUGAGAUCAUGAUCUGAGCUGAAGUCGGACACUCAACUGACUGAGCCACACAGGCACCUCAGGUAAUUGAGAUUUUCAAAGAGAGUUCCGGAAAGACAGAUGGCAAGAGUCAAGACAAACUGGGAGUAAUCCAUAGGAACCUGACUCAGACAGCCUGCUCCAAGUGAGAGCCUAAGCCCAUGAUCAAGAUGGAGGCCUGGCGAGUGCAGACAAACACGCCAGGAGGAAUGAGUAAAUGGGAAAAGGCAGUGGAUUAGAAACCAAUGAGGCAGCCAAUGUGGUGGCCUCCUGACACCACGAUGGGACAUCUUAACGGCAACUCCAAGGGGCGGGAGGCAGCAGCUGCAAGGAUGCCAGUGGAACCUGUUACAGGAGAUGAUGUGGAACUGAGCAGGCAAAAAUAGGGUAAAUGUUGAUACUCUUUCCCCUCCAUUGUCAAAAUCAUCUCUUUCCAUUCAUUUUUCUAUAUUCUUCCUUCACAGCUUGAGCCCAAUGUGAAAUGCCCUAUAAUCCUCACAGGACACCUGAAACCCUGGCCGGCCAAUUAUCCUAGUGAUGCUCCCAUGGUGAUCUCUGCACAAGCACACGAUGUAACUUUCUCUGCAAAGCAUUUUUCACAUCUAUUAUGUCAUUUAAUUAACCAACACUAUGUGACAUAAGCACUUAGAUAAAUAAAUCCAGGUCCAAAGAGAUUUAUAGCCUCACCCAAGAGAAAGAACCUUCAUAUAAACCCAGCUCUUCAGACUUGAGAUCCUGUGCUUCAAAAAUAUGCUGCUAUAGUGUAUUUCUGGUUCUCUAACUCUGUGUGCUGUAAAUUUCACUAAUCUAGACUUCACUGAUUCAGAAUUGGUGAGGCAAUAAAACAUCAUCAUGUGAUACCCCACUUACUUGGGAAUCUGGGACAUGCUAUAAGAAGUGUUGUGCCUACAGUAUUGGUACAGGGUAUUGGACAGGGCAGCUAUCAUCCUGAAAGUACAACAAAAGAAAGCCUGCUUUUGUUUAUUCAACCAGGGCCAACAUCACCAAUGAGCACCAACAUGCAGCUAAAGAAAAAAAAAAGAAAAAGAUGGAUCUGCUAACUACAAAUGAUGUAAUUCUGUGUUUGUGGCUCACCAACGUUAAAUUUUUUUUUAAAAAUCCCCCAAAUCUAAGCUAAAGUAAAAACCAACCACCCUCACAUGAUUUUGCCAAGUACCUUUAUUAUGUCUUAUAUUAUCCUGUAGUUCAACUUUUAAUUCACAUCUGCCUCUUCUGAAAAAGUCCGGUGUAAAGCUG